AUGGGUCAACUUAUAAACCCCGAAAAGUGUUCCAUCCUCUUCUCUGACAAUUGUACGGUGGUGGUGGCAGAUGAGGUAAAAAGCAUAUUGGAAGUGUCCCAACAAGUCUUUGAGCCCAAAUAUUUGGGCUUACCGGUGCCAGAAGGAAGAGUUCAUAAAGGACAAUUUGAAACUCUUCAGGAAAGAUUGGGAACAAGGUUGAUAGACUGGAGUGAACAGUUUGUUUCGAUAGGUAACAAGGAAAUUUUGAUUAAGGUUGUUGCUCAGGCCAUCCCUACAUAUGUUAUGAGUGUCUUCAGGCUGCCUGCAUCUGUUUGUGACGACUUGACAAGGAUGAUAAGGCGGUACUGGUGGGGAGUGGAGAAUGGUAAGAGGAAGAUGGCAUGGCUAAGUUGGAAGAAAAUGGUGGUUCCCAAAUCUAUGGGGGGCAUGGGCUUCCGUGACAUGAGAGCUUUCAAUCAGGCCCUGCUUGCUAAGCAGGCGUGGCGGUUGUUGGACUGUCCGGAUAGCCUGUGUGCGAGACUUCUGAGGGCCAAAUAUUACCCUCAUGACAAUCUUUUGGAUACAGUGUUCCCUACUAGCUCUUAA
This 588-nucleotide ribosomal RNA is filed under the name Triticum aestivum (bread wheat). RNAcentral's name for it is "partial small subunit ribosomal RNA". The record is from RNAcentral. Lineage: Eukaryota; Viridiplantae; Streptophyta; Magnoliopsida; Poales; Poaceae.